AAUGAUACAUGUACAUUUAAUCAAGCAUCUAUAUGUAUUACGCCAACAAAUAUCCAUAUGUCACCGUCAUUGUUAGAUGUUGUCGUACAUGAAAAUAUCGACAUAAAUAGCUAUAGAGAAGAAACUAGAGAUUUGCCGAUUUCCCCUCCACCUCCUGGAAAUACAGAGCAGGAGGAAUACCAUAUUGUCCCAGCUGUUUUAACUGAAUCCUCAUCGUUACCAGAUGAUGGCCUUGAAGAUUGGCCAGAUG
Long non-coding RNA from Saccostrea cuccullata (small rock oyster), 250 nucleotides. RefSeq lists it as uncharacterized. Lineage: Eukaryota; Metazoa; Mollusca; Bivalvia; Ostreida; Ostreidae. The transcript has 3 exons. The record is from RefSeq and is a predicted model, not a curated record.